This 436-nucleotide ribosomal RNA is filed under the name uncultured bacterium. Its description in RNAcentral is "bacterial SSU rRNA". It matches the Rfam family "Bacterial small subunit ribosomal RNA", at positions 355 to 786 of the family's 1533-position model. The record is from RNAcentral.
UGAGGAAUAUUGGUCAAUGGACGCAAGUCUGAACCAGCCAUGCCGCGUGCAGGAUGAAGGUGCUAUGCAUUGUAAACUGCUUUUGUACGAGGGUAAAUGCAGGUACGUGUACCUGUUUGAAAGUAUCGUACGAAUAAGGGUCGGCUAACUCCGUGCCAGCAGCCGCGGUAAUACGGAGGACCCGAGCGUUAUCCGGAUUUAUUGGGUUUAAAGGGUGCGUAGGCGGAUUAGUAAGUUAGAGGUGAAAGCUCGAUGCUCAACAUCGAAAUUGCCUCUGAUACUGUUAGUCUAGAGUAUAGUUGCGGAAGGCGGAAUGUGUGGUGUAGCGGUGAAAUGCUUAGAUAUCACGAAGAACUCCGAUCGCGAAGGCAGCUUGCCGGACCGUAACUGACGCUGAGGCUCGAAGGUGCGGGGGUAUCGAACAGGAUUAGAUACC